AACAGACAACACACACUCGCGCACAGACAUCCCCAGACAGUGCAUACUUAUGCAACAAUGUACACAAGCUUGCACAUACGCUCAUAUCACAGGAGCACCAUCCCCCCACUUUCAUAUACAGACGUUUCCAACCACGCUGUAUACACAGCGAUGAUACACACAGACGCUCAGAUCAGUGUGUGUGUGUGUGUGGGUACUAUUGGACGUUCAGCUCCCAUUAGUAACACUGUGACAUAACUCAGCAGCCAGCAGGCAUCUUGCUGCUGAGGACAAACACUACCUCUCACAGGAGACACAUAGGGUACUCUGCCAGCAUUAUCAUCUCCAUUUCUCUGUCUUUCUCUGUCUCUCCAUCUCUCCGUCAGUCCCCUCUCCUGUUACCCUCUGGUGAUAGCUCCCGCCUGGAGAGAGUGUGUAAUUAAUGUAGCUGUUCCCCUUUGUCUCAUCCCGGUCUCCCUCAGUCUCUCCUGUGAGGGAUCGUUUGCUGCGGCUGGGCUCUGUUCAUUAUGGAUGGGGCACCAUGUGAGAUUUGCGUCUGUCUCUUGGGCUGUACCUCUCUGUCUCUCCUGCUCUUUUUUUUCUCUCUCUGACCUGGUUUCGACUGCACUCAAAAUUAUAUUUCUAGUUACUGUUUUGGAAAAAAAUUCAUUUGAACCCAAUUUAAAAAAAACAAAAAACUUCUACCUAAACAAAAGAGAGUGCUUUGAUUGUGUAACAUUUUUUGUAAUGGAUGAUUUGCUUUGCAGCAUUUAAUAGACUGAACCUUCAUCAUCUCCCAUGAGAAUUUCUAUGUCUCCUUUUAUUUCUGUUACCCUGCCAUGACCAGAGUUUACGUUCCUGCACCUUCUCUGCAAGCUGGAGUUGAUAAGAUCUCUGAGAGAAAAUGGUUGGUUAAAAGGCUGAAAAGAAGGCUUUGGGGGAGGGGAAAUGUUCUGAAGCACUAGAACACAAAUCCAUGCGGACAUACAUAUUGCAAUCACGCAUACUUUUCCAUGCAGCUCAGGAAUGCCUCGUACAAUGCAGCAUGUUAAUAAUGACAUUAAUCCAAUUAGGGUCUGCUAAGGAGUCUGACCUUUCCACUGUCCACUGCGUCUUAUUCCCCUUUCCUGUUCUGCCCUUUGUCCUUUGACUCAUCCCUUCAACCCUCCACUGGCUUUUACUUCAUCCUUUCCUGUUUGUGACAUCAAUAACUGUAUCCUUGCGUAAGAGGAGAUAGUUUGCUGCAAUAUCCAGAUUAAUUGUGAUUUAUAUUCCGGACACUCAGAGGAAACAUUUGUAGGGAGGAUACUCGUUAGCAGUACAGAUUUGCUAAAGAGCGGGCACAUACACACACAAUCAAAGGCACCACUCCCCAGAGGAAGAAUAGUGCUGAAAUGAGGGUGUGGCGAUCAUUGUUGGUUUUCAAUAAGCCCGGACUGUUAAUGAGCAACAUCAUUGGCAUUCCUCGAUUUGGAGUAUCUUGCUUUGCCCUUUGAGUUUUUUAAUUUUUUAAAGCGAUAGUGUCCCUUAUUUGGUCUAGACACCUUCCCAGUAAAGUACAUUCAUGAAUAUGAACAAUGUGAAUACUGAUUUUUUUUUUUUUUUUUUUUUAAAGAACACCUUCACAGGUUUCUUACUCUUUGCUGAACAACAUGGUUAGGUAUGAUUUUUUUGACAAUUCAUUUUUCAGUCUAGUCUCUUAUUGUGAAAAGAUGAUUAACUGAAUUUUCCAGAUUGUUUUCCCAAGAAAAUUCCCUGAAGCAAAAGUGUCUUAAAAUUCCUUUAUUUUCUUAUAUAUACCUCUGAAACACUCAAACUCUUCAUAUACUGACAUACAUGACAAAGAAGAGGAGCAAACCCUUUCAUUAAAGAACAUAGAACCAACGUUUGUGACAUUUUUGCUUGGAAAAUGACUGAAACAAUAGUAUGAGGAAAAUAGUUGGCAAAUCAUUUUCCUUUGUGAUCACUUCACUAAUCUACUGAUCAUCGCUUCUCUUCAAGUUGAAUCAGAAACUUGCUUUUCAAUAAUUCCAGAGUAUUAUUUUAAUGGCUUCAUUUAAUCUUGAAUGCCACUGCAUGGUGCAACAUCUCCCCCUCCAUGUCUCUCCUAAAACGUUUAGCUCUACUAUCACUUUCCUCUACCUGUCCCUUCCUCUCCUCUGUGUGUCUUCUUCUCUCAGGUCUCUCUCGUCUCUCUCCCUGCCUCUAACCGUCUUUGACAGGAUUUAGAAAUGACUUCAGAGAAUUUCUCUCUCCCUCCUCACACAUCCUUCCAUUGUCCUGCUCUUUUCUUUCCAAAAGAAUUGCUUUUUCAUCUUCCCCUUAUUCCUCCUUUUAUUUUUGUCCCCCAACCUUCCAUGCUGUCCCUCUUUUACAUUUUAUCUCUUCUUUCCCUUCAAAUCCCCUCUGUCCUCUGUUUAACUCCUCCCCCAGUUUCCCUGCACCAGUAAGAAUAUUACAGAAUGUUCUCUUUUUUUACACCCAACCCUGUCAUCGCUAGCUUUUCUUCCUCUCUAAAAUCUCUUCAUGGUAUCCUUCUUUCAUCCCCUCUUUUUUUCCUGCUGUCUUAUACUCGUUUUUUUCCCUCACUGCACACUCACACUUCCUCCUCCCGAUUCUCAUUUCACAGUCAUUUAUGGUAACCCUUCUUCUAAGUCCUCCUCUCAACGUCAGUCCCUCUCUCACACUCUUACCAUCACCCUCCUCCCCCCUCACAGUUCCUCUACCCCUCGUCUCAUUUCCCCCUCCUCUUGAUUAGUUGACCCUUUUGACCGUUUCACACCCCUGUCUCCUCCCUCUCCUCCCUCUCCUCCCUUCUCACCCCCUUCUUUUCCUGGCUCCACUUGUUAAGCUGCAUGAUUAGUUUCUCACAAACUCAUUUUCAUAGUCAGAUCCCAGGCCCACGGUUAGGCGAGGGGUGGGCUGAGGUGUGUGUGUAUGCAUAUAUAUGUGUGUAUGUUGGGAUUGCUCUUAAUUGCAGCUGCUGGUGGAACGUCAGGCACCUCAUACAAUUUUAAUGGGGCUGUAGCAUCAGACACUCAUACAGAUGUGUUUCUCUUACAAGAGAGAAGUGACAAGUCUGAUUCUACAGAGCUCUUUUGCAGCUUCUGUCUGCCGCUCACUGAUGGGAUUUAACGCUGAUUUAACAAAGAAGAAGAAACAGAGAACUACAGAGAAACUAUACCUCACACAUGUAUACCCCGCUAGCUUCAGCAGGGGCAGUAGACUCUUAGAUUGGAAAAUAAGGAAAAAGGACAGAGGGGUUGAUAGAUAGAGCUAGAGAUGAACAGAUGGCAUUAUCAGAGUGUCCUGCGCCUUGUGUUUAAUUUGGACACAGAGAGGGAAAGAGAAGAGCAGAGGGAGCAUGAGAUGAAGUGAGGGAGCGGAAGAGACUUACAUUAUAUUAGUCACAGAGGCAGAAAUUCAGCAGCAGAAGCACAGGCCCGUCCCACUGUCGCGCGCAGAUGUUUUGGUGUAUUAGAUGUGGCACAGAGAUUCCCUCUGGGAGGCAUCCACAUGAAAGAGCUCAAGUUUUGCUACUGCACAUCAGUGUUAAUUUGGAGUUGGAAAUUGAAUUUCUCAUUCUGUUUUGCAUGCAGGGUUUGCUCGAAAUGAGAAUAAUGAGGCAAAUAUCCUCUGAGAUUUUAAAUGAUUGCUGCCAUUAAUGUAACUUUUCAGUUUUACCUUGAUGAGGCUUAUCAAGACGUAUGUACAAUUUUGCUUCAUGAGGGAAAAGGACAUAAACAAUACGGCAGCAAUAAGCAGAUGUGUUUAUAUAUUCAGUUGAUUUAGUGACAGCAGAAGAUAUGUUGAACCACUGGCUGUGAGUUGUGUCAAUACUGAGGGUUGGUUCCUGGAGGCUUAUAGCACAUCUCCGAGGUCAGAGGUCAGGGCUCAUUGCUCGAGCUCUACUCAUCACAUUCAGGUUAGCUGUUUUCAGAGCUGUAAAAGUUUCAGGAGCACCCUCAGAUGGCCAUAUCAACCGACAUUAGUUAUGGACCACCAUUAUGUAGCUCAAUAUGUUUAAAGAAUGGGUUUGAAUUGUUUGUGAUGAAAAAUAAAGAAAGCUUGCCGUGUACACAUUGACAUAGGCCUAUGCAAAUUCUUAUGGUGCAAGUAAGAUAGUACAACUAUUAAUGUUCAGAUUCAAGGAGGGAGGAAGAAAAAUAUAUAUAAUUCUAUUAAGUAACAUAUCGUCUUAAACUAUGUACAGUGAAGCCUUUUCUAUCCAGAAGGGACUCUUACAAACUGAUGGAACAGAAAGUUUCAUGCUUACAAACUGGCCAAAAAUAUACAAACACACACACACAAUUUGCAAUAAUCAUUCAUACAAAACUGUCCUUGCUUUAUCCUAAUCCCUACAAUCCAUAUUUCCUCACUCUCUCUCUCUCUAAGGCCUGUUUAGAUUUUAACCUCGUAUCCCUCUCUCCUCUCUUUUUAUCGCUCUGUCUCUCCCUAGGCUACUGCUGCUGUAUUUCCUCCCUUAUCUCCCCUCUUAUCUUUUCCUUUUGUUCUUUGCCGUUGAUAUCUCUCUCUCCAUUUAAUCUGCACUCUCUCCUCUCUGCGUUUAUAUCUCCCUUCAUCUUCGUUCUACUUCAAACACAACGUUCGCCAACACACACACACACACACACACACACACACACACACACACACACACACACACACACGUGUAUACGAUACAAACACACUCGAGCACAUCUGUUUGGUCACGCUGGCAUCCACAGAUCUCAGUGUAGGUGAAAUUAAAGUGUGAUAAGCAGCUUACCAGGUGUGUGUUGUCAUGCUCCGGUGCUCUCAAGGCAGCACUCUGCUCCCUGUUCUUUGAUUAGAGCCAAACUGAAGCCAACAGAUACACACACACACGUACACACACACUUAAAUACACACAUUGUACUCCCCAUGAUGCACGUGAUGCCUAAUAAAUUAUUAAAAAGGUAUAGAGAAGCGCCACAGAACAAUCAGUUAAGAAUAAAUGUAGUAGCAGAAGAUCGAUACACUUAUGAAAAACAUGAUAAAGGUUUGUUGAAGUGAUAUUUAUUAAAUGCAUAAGGUACGACAGUGUUCUUAAGGUGAUUAAUUGGCUAUUGCAAGGUUAUGCAAACAAGACAACUAUCGUUAUGUAUUUUAUUGACCCCGGACUUUAGAGAGAAACGGUGGAUUUGUUAUUCAUGUCACAGGCUGAAAGGGCUCUGUUUAUUUACAUGCACAGUAUGUACUCACAUGGACUCAGCUGGCUACUUGCAUGGGGCAAGUAGCUUUAGUCAAUUCAUACUGUGUCAAAUCAUGGGUAGGGUAAUGUAAGUACAGGCUAUGGCAGAUCCUUUAGCCCUACAGUCACCCUACAAAGUGAAUAAUGGAGCUACUUUCAAAAGCUAUAUGUGUUUUUCUAAUAUUCUGAACAGAAAUAUAUAUUUUUUUUAGAUUUCUAGGAGAAAUUAAUUUUGUUAAACAACCCCUCUGUCUCAGUAAAAUACUCUCACAGUAUUUGGCAACAUGAUAGCCUUUUGUCUGAGGUUUGGAAUAUACUGUCAUUCUAUAUCAUUGGUGUAGCUUGUAGUGGGUCAUCUUUGUGAUAGAGAAUCUUUGUCACUAGGCCAAAUCAAUCAAUCAACAUUUACUUAUACUCAAAGGAGAUCAUUAAGGGGGGCAACACUCAUUUACAACAAUAUUGAGUUACAGAAUCAAUUUAAAAACUGACAAAAAAAUGAAUAUAAAAAAUCUUCAUUGUUCAAAUAAGCAUCCCUAACAUCUGUAAAACAAUUUGGCUUGUUUUUGUUGGCAUGUCUGUGGUGUUCAAACUGGGUAAGUCCACACCAUCUAUUCAUGUGUCUGUCAUCCAGUAUAUGUUGUUGAUGUUUAUCAGAGCCACUUCAGACUUGUUAAUGUGUGUGUGUGUUGUGUAUGUUCAGAGUGGGUUUCCAUGUGGAAUCUAAGAUGCCUGGCAGGCAGUCUCCCUGUGGGGCAAAGCUAUGAUGAGCAAUUAUCCACUAGGGCGACUUAGUAGGCUAAUUUAGCAUAUUUAUGUGGUCAGCAGCGCUGUUUACUAUUCCCCUUCACUGCUUACUGCUGCACUUUCAAUUUAGAACAGACCCCAGCUCCCUCUCUCAUUCUCUCUCUCUCUCUCUCUCUCUUUCAUUUCCUCUCCAUCUCUUCCUCCUCUGCCAUCCCUCUGCCUCUAUCUCUCCUCGCCUGAUGGGGUUUGUGAUGUGUAUCGCCACCACCCCUCCCUCAUGCUGUUUCUCUAUUUUUAUCCUCGCUGUGUGUGGGAUGGGAGAGGGACAGGUGUAGAAUCAAGUGUGUGUGCCUGUAUGUGUGUGUGCCAGCAGAAGAUAGAAAGACAGGGUGCCAAAAAGAGAGAGACAGAGGGGAUAUGCAGAGUAGAGGGCUGUUAGUGUUGGGUUGUGUACAGCUUAGGCUAAUGGGGAUUUAGCAUGUUUGUUUUUAAACAAAAGUCUUUGCUUUAUGGGAGUGUGCGUAUUUGUGCUUGCCAUCUAAGUGUGUUCUUGUAUGUGGAUGCACAUAUGAGUGCAUUUUGUGCAUGCAACAUGCACAGAGAAAGAGGGCCUGCCUCAUAUUUCACCACAAAAUUGAGGCAGAAUCUAAUCAUAGCCUCAUAAAAGCCUGACCCUGGAGAGCGCCUGCCUCUUUAAGCCCUGACACGAACACACAGACACAUGCACACACACAGUGGGACAUUUUGUGUCUUUGCCAGUUUGAAAAUUAUGUUUGUGUGGACGCAUGAUUACCAGGUUAUGUGAUUGUUCGAUGCCAAAUCUGCAUCUCUGUGAUGCAGAGCUCUGAAGUCUCACAAAGUUGAGUGGAGUCCAUCUCUCAUACCAUCUGUUUUGUAAAUCCAGCCAGCUACAGAAAUCUGCAGGGCACAGUUUCCACAUUCAUACAAUGGAAUAGCUGUUUAGUUUUAAUUAUCAGUCAUCAUGAUGGCAUCUGAUGCUGGGUCGACAUGUGCAACUUAAAGCUGGCUUCAAACCUGGAGUGAGGCACAGCAUGGGCAGCUUUAGUGUGCCCAUUUACAGUAAAUCCUGGAUUCACACAUGGCUUACUGCAAGCUGCACACUUAAGGUGAUGAAACUGGAAAUCAAGGCAUGCCCAGUGAAAAUAACAUUCACAUUUGAAUUAAAUCCUGUACAAAUAGUUGUAUUUCAUUUAUAAUUGUAAACACACAAGGGUUGUGUCUUUACGGAUUUAAAAUAAAAACAUCAUUAACUUACCUUAACAGCUGCCCAGAUCUCAGCAAGGUGGGGCUUUGAAUACAUAUAUGCAGAUUAAGAUCAAAAUCUACAGUAGGUUGAAUAGCAUUGCCGAUGAACCAGUGAGGAGAAUAGAACGCAGAUUACAGUCAGAAGUUGAUGCCUUGAUUCCAAUGACUAAUAGACCUAAAGUAUUUAAUUUAUUUUCAAAGCUUUAUCAUUUAGUUUCUGGAAUAAAUGUUACUGUUUGCAGAUAACACAUAAUGCUGUGUAAACUGGCUGUGACUCAACGUACAGGACCUUGAUUUUAAGUUGAACAAUUGUGCACCAUGUGUUGUCAUGUUUCAUACAAUUGAACUAAAAUCUUCAGCCUGCCAUCCAGACACCUAGUCUCAGCAUGCAAAUGUAUACGUCUGCCUGCACUAAGUUGUACAUACAGAGCAGGGCCCAAACUCAAAGAGUGUGUGAAUGAAAGGGGGUUAAGAGUACUGAUGGAGGAGGGCCAUGAAGAGGUUUGGCAUGAAUAGGGCUGUACAGACAGGGAGGGGGCAGGGUGAGACAGGGGAGGAGCAGAGGAGGUCGGGUUAGAGAGAAGGAGGAAACAAGACAAAAGUUUGCCAUAAUGAGCGUGGAGGAAGGGGCAGGCGGGUGGUGUGUGGAAGAAAGGGCUUUUUCUGGGUGGUGGAGAAGUGGGAGGGAGUCAGGGCGCACUUCUGUCAGUUUAAACAGAGACAUCUGUCAGAGGGGGCCUCUGGUGUGUGUCUGCAUAUGUGUGUGUGUGUGUGUGUGUGUGUGUGUGUGUGUGUGUGUGUGUGUGUGUGUGUGUGUGAUUAGGCAGGCAAGGGGAUGUUAGGUCUUUAGCUGCACCUGGGGUGUGACCUCUGCACUGAGUUCUCCUCUCUAACCACACUUCAACCUGCUGUCUUUAAAUAUCAGCCUUUUCACACUGACCACAGGGCAUAGCUGGAGCUUUAUAACGCCAAAUUACACCGUUGUAGAUCCCCACACUUAACAAUGCUCCAUCCAAGAGUGGGAGAAGAUAGAAGAAAAGGACCACAGGCCCUGUGUAGCUCCUUUCUGUUCGGUUUAUUAAGGACUGAUUCAAGUUUUUUUAAUUUAACAAUUUAACAUGAAUGUAGGUUUAUGCAGAGUAAAAUGAAAUGAUUUAGGUUCUUAUUACGUUACUUUUCUUAGUUCAUGUUGAUUUUAUGAGCUUUUGCAGAUUGUAUUUAUUUCUGUCUUGUGUGUAUGGUUUAUUAGAUUUAAAGAGUUGAUCAGUGCUUGAUCACAUUUUCCACUCCAUAGAAAAUACAAAUAAUGCGAAUAAAGAUUAAAAACCAACAAAACAAGAGUUUGGUGAGGCCAACAGCAGGUAGAUUAAACAACUUUUACGAGACAAGCUUAGCAUUUCUUGGAUGGCUUAAGGUGUUAGAGCAAUCUUAAAAUACUGUCUUGGAUCCGAUCAGCUAAAUAUUAACACCUUAGUAAGUGACCACAGCCUAACAGUCAACAUACUAAAAACUGUUAGUAUCACUUAGUUCUAUUGAAGAUACACCUCUAAAAUAGUUAUUAAGUUAUGUGUGCACAAAAUAAUUAAAGUCAAUAUUAGGUUCUUUUAACUUAGUUUCCAGCAAGCCUUUAUAUGAAAUUGCGGGUGAUUUGCAUAUUUUUUUAGGAAAUCCUUCCUAACACUGUAACUAUCUGAGCAUCCAAAAAUGUGCCACUGGCAGUGUAUUGAAUGUAAUCUCACUGAAUAUGUGAUUUUUGCAAUCAUGAAUUUGUAUGGAUUUGAGCAGCCUUUUUAAUUCACCAGCUCAUUUCCCAAAGGACUUACACUCCCUAAAAUAGAAAGAAGGUCCAAGUGCAUAGGUCUAACAGUUAUCCGCUAUAGUGCUGCUGGAUUAUGUUGGACUAAAUCCAGAGGAUCAAAUUUCAGGGAGUGCUCCACCGCUGCAUGCAGAAUGCUCUCAUUGGGGUUUGACAAAAACAGCAUAAUAUUAUAGGGAUCAACAAGGUAGUUAGUUCUGCUUUAUGCACGAUUUGAUGCCAUUACUAUGCAGAGUGAUAAAGACAGACAGUAAGUGAGAGAGAGGAGGGAAUGUGUUGGUAAUCCAUGCUCCAGUAGAGAGGCUGAUGAAGGGUUAACUGUCAGAUAAUGUAUUGAGUGGAGGAGAAGGAGGGCAGACUUCUCAGGUGUGAAGAAUCGAAUGAGAGAGACAGCGGAGGGAGGGAUCAGAGCAGGGGGAUGGGCUGCUCAGGAGCCUGUAUUAUGGUUGCAGGCCCCCGUUACCAGGCAACCAAGCAGAGUGAGAUGCCAGGUUGCUAGGUAACCCGGGGGAUGCAAAGCCCAGCUAGAGUGAUAAAGAGAGACACGAGAUAGAGAAGAGGUGGGGUGGAGAUGUGCUGCUGGGCUGCUCCACCUUCCCGCUCACUCUCUCUCUGUUUGUCACACGUCAGGGUCUUCAUCCAGCUGUGGAUCAGAAACCUAAUGCAGUUUCAUCAGUGAGCCAGGGGUUGCAUGCUUCAAUUUCAAGCCAGGUUUACUGAAUGAAAAACACACAAAAGCACAGCAAGACCUUUGUGGAUUAUUGUUACACGAAUGAUUCAAGCAAUAAGUUGAUAUAAAGAUGAAACGUUUAUAAUAUUACUCUGGUUAUCUGGUUAUUACAACUGGAUACUGUUGUGGGUAUGAAGACGUACUGCUACUGAUGAUUAUUUUCAUUUGUGCCAAUUUUAUUCUGGAUCAGUUUAUUUAUUGUUUGCUUUAUAACCAAUGGUAAUCAAUUUGAUCAAUUGAUAAAUUGAAUAGUACACAGUCAAUGUUGCUUCCAAAUGACAAAUUGAAAAGCUCUUGGUUUGUCUAACAUACAGUCCAAACCGCAACAAGAUUAAUGUAUCCUUCAUUUAAACCUAAAAAAAUUUGAAUCCAAGAUUUGGGAUUUUCAUUUAGUUUAAGAAACAAUUUAUUACCACAGCAGGUACUGUUUGCUUUUUCACUUAACUUAUUGAUUAGCUGAUAGUGUUACAGCUGACUGACAGGGAUCACAUCUGUUUUGAAUAAAAGUAAUGAGAAUUAAAGUAUUUGACAAACUGUUUUUUUUAGUUAAUUUCUUCUGUUUUAUACUUUUAGACUACUAGGCUUGUAUUUUCCACUUUUUUUUGUUAAUUGUUUAGCUAAAUAGAGGGAAAUUCAAUAUAUGUGAAAACGUAUUUAACAAUAAAUGUGAUCAUAACUACAAGAUCAUCAUAUCCAUACCACAUUUGAUUGUUUGCCAAAACUGUCUUCUGAAAACAACAGCAGUCAUAGCAUGAAUAUAAACACAUCAUGACAUCAACAUCACAGCUAUUCAAUCAAAUGUAUUUUAAUAUUGUUAUUCAAAGUAUUGCUCUGGUCUAAAUGUCAUACAGCCGUUUGACAUUUACACGAGAGGGUUUUAGUAAUGGAAUGGAAACAAUAGACCUCUUUCUAUUUAUAAUUUUAACAAUGAAUUUGUAUUAAUCUGCAUCAUAAGUCAGUUCUGAAGCAGUAUUAUGCCUCUUUCAAAGUAAAUGGUCAAUAGUAGUACUAAUAGCAUCAGAACUGCUAUUAAGAUAUUUUUUGUUCACUACACUAACAAAUAUGAAUUUGUAACUGCAGCAAUGACCGAGGAAAAUAUGAGAAGUAGAGUAGAAGAGACUCGAAAAAAAUAAGUGAAUAAAAGAGAGGAGGGAACGGAUGGAAAAAGAUAAAGAAGAGAGGCUCAUGUCAUCAUCAGGAAGGGGGGGGGGGGAGAUUAUGAAGUUGAGAGUUAAAAGAGGUUGAAUUGAGGAUGGGGGAGAGAAAGAGGGAAAAAAUAGUGUUUGAUGCUGGAGAAGGGAUAUAAAUAGUUUUCUCCUCUUAUGCAUGCUGGAAAAUGGACAUCUGAAAUUGUGUGGAUGGAGUACUCCAGAGGGAGAUUGAAGGGGGAAGGGUGUGUGUGUGUGUGUGUGUUUGGAAAAGAGAUAAGAAGAGAGAGUGUUUGUGUGACUGUACAUACACACACAAUAACACACCAUUGUCUGUUGUCACGCUGUAAUCACUUUUAUAUUUCGGUUUGCGUGAACAUUUGUGAGUUUUUCCCUCCAGUGUUUUGAUGUCAUCAAAAAGGGAUCAAAAGACCAAAAAGAUAACAUUGAUUUAGCACUGUACUUUAAUCCUUGUUCCGGAUUGUGCACGUACACACGCAUUGACAUACGCACACUUCCCCCUACCCUCAUAAUGUGGCGCAAUGGUUUGUUCCACUGAUUUUGUGUAGGUGGGGGAGGGGGGAGAAUACGAUUUGAUUGGAUAAUCCAAGGAUUUAAUAUCCCCUAAUCCUGGCACAAUCCUCUCUGCUUUACUGCAGGGAGCAAGAUUAACUGUGUGUGUAGUAUGUGUUUGUUUCUGUGUGCGUGAAAAGGGCGGGCAAGGUGCUCCGGGAGUGAAGAAAAGUGUGGGGAAUUCUGUGUGUGUUUGUAUGCGAGUGACAUGUACUGUAUCUGUGUUGGAACCACAGCAUGCAAAUGGAGCUUUGUUUGCAUGCAGGGUUUGGUCAGGCGUGAGUAUGAGUGGAUGUGCCUCAGCAGAGUGGCAAUAGUUAUGCAGACACGCACAUGAUCAUAUAUCACAUAUCUGGCCCUCAUGCAUUGCCACACUGCUGCUGCUCACAUACGAAUCCUUGGUCCUCAGAGAGACACAAACUCUCAGUAAGGGCUUCUUAGUAUGCAGCAGGACAGAUCAAACCUCACUACAGUAUGAAUCCUGCUCCUUGUACGAGCGCACGUUUGCAGAUGGUUACUGUUGAUUAAGUCUUAAUUGGAACGUGAGUAAUUAGAGGAUAAUUUGACUUGAAAGGAGCGUGUGGCUGUUCAUGUGUGCUGGAGUUAAGACGGAGAGAGAAAGACAGAGUGGAGUACAGUGUGACUGACUAGCAGUGACUGUACUUUAUUUGCAUUUUUCUCUCAGGCUCAAGGGAAUUUUAAUUACUCUACUGUAAUAUAGAUUCAGUUCCCUCACCUUCUCCCCCUCUAUCUCUUCGCUCUGAGCCAAAUCACAUUUAUUUCUCCCUUCCCACAUCUUAUUCUCAUACGUUUUCUGUCCUCUUUUUUUGGUUCUCUUACAUUUUUACUCAUUUGUCCCUCAAGAUAAAGUUGGUUAUAGGAAAAAAUAAUGAAGAGGAAAUCAUGCAGCCAGCAAAGCACUCCUUCAACAUAAAUUCUUUGUUUACCCGAAGAGCAUAGCAGUUGCCCUCGGCAACAAGCAUCCUUGUUUACCUACCCAGUGUGCCGUCAUAUGAUCGCCAUGACAACGAGCUGGUUGCCAUGCCAUUUUUCCGAUGCCAUUGUGUUGUCUUUGCUGUGGCAGUGUGCACCUCUCACCUGCUGUCUUGUGUUCAGAUUCUCUGCUGUUUUUAUACCAUCUUCCUCCAUCUCAUUACAGGAAUUUUAUAAAACUUGGCACAUACACAUACACACACACACAUUCUUAGAAACAAACUGAUAAGCUUGGAUUGAUAAGCCGUAGUUGGCAAUCAUUAGAUGGCUCUGCUCAGCCUGUUUUACGAUCACAGGGGUGAGCUUGAAUAGGCCUAAUGAGAGGAGAAAUGGAAGAGGUGAUGGAUGGAUGGAAGGAUAGAGAAAGGGUUAGUGGACACAAAUCUCGCUACAAUCAGCCUGCGCUACAACACAGCCCCAAAUCAAUGAACAAGAUGGGACUGAUCGAUGAGUUGAUAGCACAAGAUGGAUGGCCAUAUGGAUGGACAGCAUUAGCCCCAGGUCUGGGAUAUGAUGGGUGGAUGGACGAGUGGAUGGAUGAGUGGAUGGAUAAGUGGAUGGAUGGAUGGAUGGAUGGAUGGAUGGAUGGUUGGGUGGAUGGAUGGAUGGGUGGGUGGAUGGGUGGAUGGGAGGACAUUAUAAAAAGGGCAGUGUGUUUAUUAUUUGUAAGUUUAUGUUUAUGCAACAGCUCAAGUCAUUAAAGAUGUGUUGUUAAAAAUGUGCAUCACUCCUUCCUCUGCAGAACCUGUGCGUUCGUGUGUGUUUGUGUCAGACCUGAUUUUAUCGGUGUGGGUUUGCACCUCGUACUGUGUGUGUGUGUAUGUGCUGGCCUUGCCUUAGAUCAAUAGCUCUGUGGUGACAGCUAAGAGCUGAUUAAUCAAAUGUAUGGACCAGUCCCUCUCUGCUCUGCCCUCUCCUCAAUUACCAGCUUCAUUACAUUGCCUUAACACCCCGCUGGGACCUUUCUCCAUUCUUCCUUCUCAUCCCCUCCCUCUUCCCUUUCCCCUUCCAUCAUCCUGUGUUCUUUCAUCUGAGUUUUUCUCCUCUCUAUCUUUGAAUAACUCAGAAUACCUCUUAUUCCCCUACAUUGUUACAAUCACUUUCUGGCUGGCAGUGGAACAAAGAAAUAAUUGAUACAUUUUCUUUUUCACUGCAGUACAGAUUAUAACUUGAACAAUGUUUGUUCAGAAAAAAAAAGAUAGUU
Molecule: long non-coding RNA, 13665 nt
Organism: Labrus mixtus (cuckoo wrasse)
Lineage: Eukaryota; Metazoa; Chordata; Actinopteri; Labriformes; Labridae
Exons: 2
Source: RefSeq, a predicted model, not a curated record